RNAcentral lists this ribosomal RNA (434 nucleotides) under uncultured bacterium. Its description in RNAcentral is "partial 16S ribosomal RNA". It matches the Rfam family "Bacterial small subunit ribosomal RNA", at positions 29 to 507 of the family's 1533-position model. The record is from RNAcentral.
AGCGAACGCUGGCGGCAGGCCUAACACAUGCAAGUCGAACGAACCUUUCGGGGUUAGUGGCGGACGGGUGAGUAACACGUGGGAACGUGCCCUUAGGUUCGGAAUAACUCAGGGAAACUUGUGCUAAUACCGAAUGUGCCCUUCGGGGGAAAGAUUUAUCGCCGUUAGAGCGGCCCGCGUCUGAUUAGCUAGUUGGUUGAGGUAAUGGCUCACCAAGGCGACGAUCAGUAGCUGGUCUGAGAGGAUGAUCAGCCACAUUGGGACUGAGACACGGCCCAGACUCCUACGGGAGGCGGCAGUGGGGAAUCGUGCGCAAUGGGCGAAAGCAUGACGCAGCCAUGCCGCGUGAAUGAUGAAGGUAUUAGGAUUGUAAAAUUCUUUCACCGGGGACGAUAAUGACGGUACCCGGAGAAGAAGCCCCGGCUAACUUCGUG